This 403-nucleotide ribosomal RNA is filed under the name uncultured bacterium. RNAcentral describes it as "bacterial SSU rRNA". It matches the Rfam family "Bacterial small subunit ribosomal RNA", at positions 355 to 774 of the family's 1533-position model. The record is from RNAcentral.
UGGGGAAUAUUGCGCAAUGGGGGGAACCCUGACGCAGCAACGCCGCGUGAAGGAAGAAGGCCUUCGGGUUGUAAACUUUUUUGAUCGGGGACGAAGGAUGACGGUACCCGAAAAACAAGUCACGGCUAACUACGUGCCAGCAGCCGCGGUAAUACGUAGGUGGCAAGCGUUGUCCGGAUUUACUGGGUGUAAAGGGCGUGUAGGCGGGUUUGCAAGUCAGAUGUGAAAUACCGGGGCUUAACUCCGGAACUGCAACUGAAACUGUAGAUCUUGAGUACUGGAGAGGAAAGUGGAAUUCCUAGUGUAGCGGUGAAAUGCAUAGAGAUUAGGAGGAACACCAGUGGCGAAGGCGGCUUUCUGGACAGUAACUGACGCUGAGGCGCGAAAGCGUGGGGAGCAAACA